UAUCUGAUAACAUACAUUUUUCAAACGUUGUUUGGAAAUCUCAGGUAUAAACCUGAGCUGGGUCGCAACUGUGACUUUGAAUAUUUGUUAUGUGUUAUGAAGGUUCUGGUUACCUUCCAAGUUAUGAUUGUAACAACUAACUUGGUACGGUCUGGUAAUCGGAGGGCUGAGUCCAACUUUGUAACUCAUUUGUUGUUACUCCCCUGUUGUUAUGUAUUUUCCACGGUGGUUUCAUUAGCAUUCCACACUUCUAUACCUGCUUGGCUAGACCUAGCUACGUAUAGGUAAGCGCCCUCGGGAUGAAGCUUACAAUUGUACAACUUCAUGUGGUGGAUCACUCGGCUCACGUAUCGAUGAAGAGUGCAGCAAACUGUGUUAACCAAUGUGAAACGCAGACUGCUUCGAUCAUCGGUUUCUCGAACGCACAUUGCGGCUUUGGGCUUGCCCUUAGCCACGUUCGAUCGAGUGUCGGCUUUUACCUAUCACAACGCUUAAUUAGUUGUGUAUUGGGGAGCAUACCAUGGCUACAUGAUUUCUUUAUUGGCUUUCACGGAUUUGACGGAAUGCUAGUAUAGAAGUAGUUCAAGUGGUUCUCCC
Molecule: unclassified non-coding RNA, 597 nt
Filed under: Macrogyrodactylus sp. IP-2012
Lineage: Eukaryota; Metazoa; Platyhelminthes; Monogenea; Gyrodactylidea; Gyrodactylidae
Description: sequence contains ITS1, 5.8S rRNA gene and ITS2
Rfam family: 5.8S ribosomal RNA (bases 319-471)
Source: RNAcentral